This 85-nucleotide transfer RNA is filed under the name Felis catus (domestic cat). It matches the Rfam family "tRNA". Rfam says of the family: Transfer RNA (tRNA) molecules are approximately 80 nucleotides in length. Their secondary structure includes four short double-helical elements and three loops (D, anti-codon, and T loops). Further hydrogen bonds mediate the characteristic L-shaped molecular structure. tRNAs have two regions of fundamental functional importance: the anti-codon, which is responsible for specific mRNA codon recognition, and the 3' end, to which the tRNAs corresponding amino acid is attached (by aminoacyl-tRNA synthetases). tRNAs cope with the degeneracy of the genetic code in two manners: having more than one tRNA (with a specific anti-codon) for a particular amino acid; and 'wobble' base-pairing, i.e. permitting non-standard base-pairing at the 3rd anti-codon position. Lineage: Eukaryota; Metazoa; Chordata; Mammalia; Carnivora; Felidae. The record is from Rfam by way of RNAcentral.
GCCUGGGUGGCUCAGUCGGUUGAGCAUCCGACUUCGGCUCAGGUCAUAAUCUCACAGGUUGUGGGUUCGAGCCCCGCGUCGGGCU